CCUACGGGAGGCAGCAGUAGGGAGUUUUCGGCAAUGGGGGAAACCCUGACCGAGCAACGCCGCGUGAGUGAUGACGGCCCUAUGGGUUGUAAAGCUCUGUUGUAAGGGACGAAUGGCACUUCUAGGAAAUGAGAGGUGUUUGACGGUACCUUACCAGAAAGCCACGGCUAACUACGUGCCAGCAGCCGCGGUAAU
Molecule: ribosomal RNA, 195 nt
Filed under: uncultured bacterium
Lineage: Bacteria
Description: partial 16S ribosomal RNA
Rfam family: Bacterial small subunit ribosomal RNA
Source: RNAcentral